Neofelis nebulosa (Clouded leopard) is the source of this 7341-nucleotide long non-coding RNA. RefSeq lists it as uncharacterized. NCBI's taxonomy places the organism in Eukaryota, Metazoa, Chordata, Mammalia, Carnivora, Felidae. The record is from RefSeq and is a predicted model, not a curated record. The transcript is spliced from 2 exons.
UAAAGGGAUCAGGCUCCUGCCCUGCGCACCCCACCCCCCCUCCCUCGAGAGGCCAGGGGGCUUCUUCCUCAAGGAGCAGGAACCGGCCACCGGGGCUGCCACCGCCUCCCUGGUGGCGGAAGCCAGAGAUCUGGGAUUCCACUGAGGCCCCAAAAGGAUUUGUCAGAUGAGAAAGAUCCAAAUAAAACCAGAGGAAACUCCUCUUUGCAGCGUGAAGCUGGUCAGUCUUCCUUACCAGUCCCAUCCUCCAAGGCCUUGUUAAACCACCGCAGCGAAGCUCUUUUUUCCAAAUCUAGAUCUUCGGCAGUGAUGGAGUAGCCAAGCUGGGGAGGUGGGGGCUGCCAGAGAGAAAGACGAGAGGCCCAUCAGGGAAGCUGGAAGAAACCUGUAUUGAGCUACCCUAGAACUUGGGGAUGCCGAGCUGGGGUGGGCGGGUGUGGACAGACAAAGCCAUACCAGGGUCAGCCGAGCCCCUCGCCGGGAGGGUAGGAGCUGAAUCUUUCGCUUCCGCUGCCCAGAGCUGCCAGGUGUGGGAGGGGAGCUCCACGAGUUCUGCGCCUUCCAUGUGGUUGUAUCUGUAGCUAAAGAAACAACAUGGACUUGUUUUCUUCCUCCUCUUCCAGAAAUGGCCAAGUUUGUCUACACUUGGUUUUUAACACUGAAUUCUCACUGGUUAUGUCUGAAAGAUUUGGUCUUCCGUGGAUGGGGGGUCUUGGAGAGUUUGCAAGACGGUUUCUGCCAGGAGGGUAUCAAGAUAACUGCUCCAAACACAGGCAUACAAGUGCUUACUGACAGUAGUCACCCAGGCUGCUCAGAGGCCCCCACCAGCGCUCAUCGCCGGCCCACAGAUCCACUGGCCGGUGCCGUAGCUGCCUGUGCCACAGACCACAGACCUCUGCACCUACCAGGCCCUGCACACAGCGAGGCUCAGCGCAUGCUUCCGGAUGAGCAGGGGUCUCACAUGCUCCAUAAACACUCCCACCACCAGAAGCCACUCCUGCGCGCUUCACAACCUACCCUUUUCUCCCUGGGCCUCCUUGUCUGUUGCCAAAGGAGUUGAAGAACUGGAGCGGUGAGAAAGCUCGUCCUCUCUGAGGGCAGAAGAGGCAGAAGCGCAUUUAGAAAGACUUCCUGAUACAGAGUAUCAGGGAACCACUUACAGCCUCGUAACUACCAACCCGGCCAAAGUCUAGAACAACUGUGAUUUAAGAUCACAGGCCAGGACAAAAAAUAAGAGAAAUCAAAAGGAAAUUCCUACAAAACGAAGGGAGAAGUUCAUGGAAGCCACGGAGAAACCUCUGUCUCACAACCAGCACGAAACGAGAACCUUCACAACCUUACUUACACCUUGCCCAGUUCCCGAGGGCUGUAGCCACAGAGCUGACCCCGAAGAGCAGCAGUCUAGUCUACUGUCGGUGCCUGGAGAUCAGCUGGGGUACAGAACAUGAACUCUCCUGCCCCUGCCAUGAUUCUCUGUGCCCCCUCUACCCUGUGGCCUUUGCGUUCACACCCCAGUCGCUUGUGCUGCAGGAUGAGGAAGAGAGCCAGAGCCUCCAGGGUCAGCACAGAAGACAUUUAAGAGACGAGAGCAGUUUGGGCAGGUACUUCACUGUCCUUCUGGAUGGCAAUCUUGGGUCCUCCGGAUCGGAGCCGCAGGAUGCCUAAGAGCCAAGUACGUGUGCUUCCUUUCCUGCCCUCUCAUUAGUCUGCAGUGCAAACAAGGACCCGUUACCUUAUUUUCUUUGCUGGCCUCUCUGGUGUCUGCGAGCGGGAUGAGGCUGGGCUGGAGAACGGUGACAAGCUGGGCCCGCUUCUCUUCCAAAGCUAAAAGGCAAAAAGCAGUGACAUGAUUACCCUACUGGACAGCGUGACAUCCGCCUUCAAUACAACUUUGUAUUCUGUUCAUCGCCACACACAGGGUCUCCUCCUCAGUGACAAACAUCUUUUGUGGAGCACCUGGCUGACGUAGUGGAGCAUGAGACUCAAUCUCCGUGUUGUGGGUUCGAGCCCCACUUUGGGUGUAGAGAUUACUUAAAAAUAUGAUCUUUUAAAACAAAAAAGGAGCACCUGGAUGGCUCAGUCGGUUAAGCAUCUGACUCGAUUUUGGUUCAGGUCACGAUCUCACAGUUCGUGGGUUCAAACCCCACACUGGGCUCCUUGCUGGCAGCGUGGAACUUACUUGGGAUUCUCUCUCUCUCCCGUUCCCUUUGCCCCUCCCUGGUGCAUGAGCUUCUUCUCAAAAAUAAAUUUAGAAAAAUAAAAAUAAAGAAAAACAUUUCUCUGUGAAGGAAGGCCCCUGAAGGAAAGUCAGUUGCCAGUAUUAACUACGGAGAAAAAAUCUGAACAAGUAAGGAAAUGCUAACUAAUAAAGUACAAGGAACAAUGUACUUUUGCAUAUAUUAAAAAGUAGAAGGUUACAUUCAGUCAUGGUUUAGAGCCUAUGAUGCAUCCAGCUUUACUUUAUGUUGUCUGCAGAAAUUAUACAAUUAAGAAGCUUUCCCAACCCCCCUCCCCGCCUCAAAAAACCUAUUACGGCAAAGGUAAGCCAGUAAACUAAUAGCCUUGCUUUUAUUAGUUUUGUUUUACUUCAACUUUAUUUUUUUUAGGUAUAUUUUGAGAGAGAGCAAGUGGAGAGGGGCAGAGAGAGGGAGAAAGAAUCCCAAGCAGGCUCUGCGCUGCCAGCACAGAGCCUGAUGUGGGGCUAGAACUCACAAACUAUGAGAUCAUGACGUGAGCCAAAGUCAGAUGCUUAACCGACCGAGCCACCCAGGUGCCCCCUGCUUCAACUUUAUUUUUUUAAGAUGUCCUAUCAUGACAUUUAUGACUUAUGCAUUAUCUAUGGUAUUUGCUGUUACAUGAUUAUUAUCCAGACACCUGUCUGUUCCAACAAACAGGCAAUUGGUUCCUUGGCAGCGAAGGUCUGUUCUCACCUUCCCCUCAUGCAAAGCAGCCUCGAUAACUGACAAAGAGCAAGCACUGUGAAGUUUCGUGAAGUCUUUAGCUUAAUUACAAAAAUACUAAUAACUUAUCACUGCAGACAUUCUUCCAGAAGUUUCUUACUCAGUAACAGUUAUAUAAGCACAAACAAGCAGACAACAAUCUUUAAUAAAAGUCUGAAGAGGUAAAGAAGAAUUUAAACUCAGAGACAGGUGGCGAAAGUGGUGAAACAGGGCAGCUCCAUGAGACCAGUAUCAGGACACCCAAGGCUGAGAACGGGUGUGAGAGGAAUGCUGGUGCACUCAGGGAAAGAAACACAAAACAAAAACUAAACGCUUGGACCUCACACCUUACAUUUUUAAUAAAGUACCAAAGAUGAUUCCAAUGUUUAGCCAGGGUUAAGGAUGACCUGGUUCAACACUUAAGGGGAAAUACUGUAUCCCCACUAUGUCUGUCACAGGUGACACACACACACACACACACACACACACACACACACACUCCAGAUGUGACCAAGGUUUACAUGUAAGAAGUGUCACAAAAGGACUAAAACAGAUCAGCUGUUCCAUACUAUGGGACAGGGAGAAGUCUGUGCCAGAGACAGAAGACAGAAAACUGACAGACUGUCACAUAAAAUCGCUACGUAAAGAACCUCUCUGUGUAAAAGUAUCACCAUGCAGCAGGGAGACUCUAGGUGCCAUCUGUAUUUUCCACCAUGCUCACAUUUCCAUAAAAUCGAAAUAAAAUCUAUGUAGGCUGGAAAUAAACACACCCCGAAACAAACAAAAACUAUAAACAAAAUUAAAAGGCAAAUAUUUUCAGAAAGAGUUAUUAUCCUUAACAUGAAAAAUGCAAGUCCUGCAACUCCACAAAAAUAUAAUGAACGUACCAAAUGAAAAACAGGCAAAAGAUGUAACAAGGACAGUCAUUUAAAAAAAUAGUCAAUCUACACUUCUAACAGCCAAUUUAGUUUUGCGCUAUAACUCAACUUUGAUUUGCAGAGUCCCCUCUUCACAGAGGCUCUAGACCUUUCUACUUUACAAAGAAUGCCAAGAUGAGCAAGACGGUUCCAUCAAGAAAUUUACGGUGUGAAAAAGAGGAAAGAACACAAAUCGACUGUAACAGCCAAAAGAUAAGACAGCCUUUCAUGACUUAACAGAAAGCACCUGAAGAGUGCCUGCAGUGGGAUGGACGUGUUAUUCCAGAGGGAGACCAGAACAAAGCAAGGGAAGGCAGCAGGUAGGAAGUGCUCUUGGUAGAUAAUAAAUGUCACGGUCUGGCUGCAACGUAGAACAUAGUUAAGGGGCACAAGGGCGAGAGGCAGGUUAGGCCUGGAAGCACUGACGGCAAGGGUAAAUACAUACGCCUACUCUGGAAAAUGAGAAAUCUGGUAAGACACAGGGAGAUAUCAACGCCGCACACAAAAGGUCAGAGGACAGUUUACUUUUUCUAUAACUGGUACCAGUGUAACAUCUGUGAUGAUUUUGUAUCAAUGCUAGGACUUCCAGUGUAGACGGUUGUAGAUGUGGAUAUUUACUAGCGUUCCCCUGGAAAAAUGUAGUUAAAUUAAAUACCUCUACUACCACCUGCACCAAAUGUAAGGACUGACACUGAAAUUGAUUACUGGAGAUGAUCACUACCUCAGUACAUUUUUUUCCAAAGAAACAUAAAGAACGUUCAUAUUGGGGCACCUGGGUGGUUCAGUUGGUUAAGCAUCCAACUAUGGCUCAGGUCAUAAUCUCCCAGUUUGCUUCAGAUUCUGUGUCUCCCUCUCUCUCUGCCCCUCCCCAGCUCAUGCUGUCUCUCUCUCUAAAUAUAAAUAAGCAAAUAAAGAACUUCCAUAUUACUUUAUUUAUUUAUUUAGAGAGACAGAGAGAGAUGGAGAGAGACAGAGAGAGACAGUGCAUGCAUGUGAGCAGGGGACAAGCAGAGAGGGGACCAGUAACUACUUAAAACAAAAUACCAAACAGUUAUUAGUGUCAGGGAGUGUAUUUCCUGCAACAGGUCAAAGGCUCCACCAGAAAUGAGGCUGCUUAAAAUCUGACCCACUUCCAGGCAAAGGCUGACCGUGUUGUUCUACACUAACACUCCCGCCAGAGACAAGAAGCAAAUGCUGAAGAUCUGAGCUACGUGUGUUUGAAGGUAUGGCAGUACGGAAGAGCCAGCGGGGCAGUAGACAUCGUGGAGCCAAGGGUUAGCCCCCAUAUUUAAGGCUACUUUUUCUCUCAUGGCGAAUGCCAAUUCCAAAAGCAAAAGCUGUAGUUGAGAGGCACGGAAAAGCUUUUGGCAGUCUCAUAUGGCUGGAAAGACAAAAAUGAAUUCAGGGUCUUCCAAAGUAGGGGGUCCUUAAUAAGACCUAAAGCUUUCUGGUUGGGAUCCCAAAGGCUACAUAUGAGGAGAUAGGGCAAAUCAGAAAUAAAGCAGCCCUCACGAGAACUGACAACCAACUCAAAACCAUGUCAAUUCUACCUGGACAGAAGUAACCUGCCACUAUCCUAACUACUGCCCAAGUAAAGUAAAAAAGUAAAACCUCCCUGGAGGAAGACACCAUCAUUCAGAGCUUUAAGUCACCAUUACUUUUUUUGUUUGUUUGUCUGACACAGAAAUAAAGCAACAACAAAAAUAUAUAAGAAAGUAAUAGUUAUCCAAUACCCCAGAGGAAAAAAUCAGACAUCAACAACAGACCAGAAGACUCAAAUGCUGGAAUUAUUGAAUAAAACCUUAGAAGAAUUGUUACACAAGAAUUUAAAUGACAAUAUGGAGAAUCCUGGCACACCAGUAACAACUAUAAGAAAGAGAAUCAAAACUACUUAAGACGGAUGGCAGUGGAUGACAGAAGGCUAAAGUAAAUCAGUAAACUAGACGAAGGAAGACUAGAGGUGGAGACGAAAUGACGGGAGACACAGACAGACGCGGACAAAAGGAAAAGGUCUACCAUGUGCCCUAGAACACUGAGGGGGGGGAGGAAAUAGGGCAGAACAGUAUCUGAAGAGAUAAUACUAGGUUGAGAGUUUUUCAAAACAUAUCGAGCCACAAGACAAACUCCGAGGAAUAUAAACUGUAAACGAGCACUUCAUAAAAUUUCUUUGCAAGUGAAGUUGGAUCAAGACUAAACAUGUACUCAGGCACAGAGCAAAUCUCAAAACAAGAACGGAUACAGGAGUAUAUCCUGUGAGCUAAUGGAAUUUAGCUAAAAACCAGUAACAAAGAGGACAAGGAAUUAAUGGUUUUGAAAUUAAGCAAUGAAUUUCUAAGUAACCCAUGAAUCGAAGAAUGAAUAUGAAAAAUUCUUCUAUUACAAAGCUGUGGAAAUGCAGCUACGGUUAAGUUUGCAGGAACUGUGUAACCUUAAAUACAUAUAUUAGAAAAGGGAAAACAAUGGAAAAACCCCAGUGAUCUAAGAAUCCGGAUUAAAAAGCCAGAAAGAAAUCCCAACAAAUCAAACAUGAAAAAAGAAAAAAAAAGGAAAAAGAAAAAAAAAGAAGUCAUAUCUAUAAGGGCAGAAAUUAAAGAAAAAGGAAAACAUAAAAUAGAGUGACUUCUAAAAUUCAUUGAUACAUAACCUUGAAAAAGGAACUUCCUUAAUCCAAUAAGGAGUAUCUAUCUACAAAAUACCUGUAUUAAACAGCACAUGUAACAGGAAAUGUGGAAAGCACUCCCUUUGAGAUCAGGAAAGACAAGGAUGUUUGCUAUCACUUCUAUUCAACGUUGUACUUCAGGUCUUAACCAAAUGCACUAAGGCAUAAGCAAACAACAGAAGGACUGCAAAGGGAGAAAAAAAGCUGUCAUUAUCGUAGGCAACGUGAUGCACACACAAAAGUCCUAAAGAAUAUAUAGAUGCUUAUGGGAUUUAGCAAAUUUCCUGAAUACAAUAAUCAGUUGUAUUUCUAUACAUCAGCAACAGAUUUUAAUACACCAUUAUAGUAGCAUCAAAAACAUAUAUCUAGGAAUAAGUUUAAUACGUAGAACAACUACAUGGUGAAGUUAAAGAUGUAAAUGAAGGAUAUACCAUGUUCAUGGACUGGAAGAUUCAACACUGUAAAAAGGUCAUUUCUCUCCAAAAUAACUGGCAGAUUAAAGGCAAUCUUAACAUCUCAGCAAGUGGUCUUUAUUUAGGUGGAAAUCAACAAGCUAAUUCUAAACUUACAGAAAAACGCAAAGGGUCAAGAUCGAAGACAAUUCUGAAGAGGAAUGAAAGAAAUGAGAAAGUUGGAUGACUUAUUCUACUACACACCAAAACUAAAAGACUGUGUGGCACAGCGUAGAAAAGAAGACCAACAGAACAGAAUCUAGAUAUGGAUCCACAUAUAUCUAUGGACACUUAAAUCAUAACAAAGGCAGUGCCACAGCGCAAGAGGGAAAGGGUGAUCCAUCCUUUCAAUAAAUGUUGCUAAGUCGAAUGGA